Long non-coding RNA from Gadus macrocephalus (Pacific cod), 812 nucleotides. RefSeq lists it as uncharacterized. NCBI's taxonomy places the organism in Eukaryota, Metazoa, Chordata, Actinopteri, Gadiformes, Gadidae. The record is from RefSeq and is a predicted model, not a curated record. The transcript has 4 exons.
UAUCAUCGAUCGGUGUGCAUGCUGGGGAAAGCAGAGUUGGGAGAGUCUUACGAGACGUUCAUCAGCCAUACCACGAUUUGCGAAGACAUGUAAGUAACUUAGAGUAAGUAAACAGUGAAAACUAAAUAUUCAUGAAACACAGGAGCAAAAAGAAUUUUAAUUAUACUUCUCUUCCUUUCAAAGAGUGCUCGUAAUCUGAACCCCAUUCCCUACCAUGCAGAAUAUAUGGGCCAUAAACUGCACAUGGAUCAAAAUGAGAAGCUUGGCAUGUUCGGUGUCACACAUGUGGUGGCAGUUGACGGCAACAGCAGCAACAUUUUUGCAAAUGCCACCAUGCCUGUGAAAAACAAUCUGCUUAUUUAUGAGCAGGUAUACAGAUGUGCAGUGGUUGCCAAUGGGAUGUGGGACCAAGUCAGAGUUGACCAUGGGAAGGAGUUCUAUCUGUGCCUGUACAUCCAGGAAAUCCUUUCCAGGCACAGGUAAAACCUCAGCAGGCAACCAUACUUGCAGACUACAUCUUCAAGGAAUCUUAGGGUGGAGCGGAUUUGGCCUGAAGUCAAUAACCGGGUAAACUACCCAAUGAAGCAGGCCCUGGUGCACCUGACUGACCAAGAGGCCAUAGACAUGCAGAACAACACAGUGAAGUUCUGUGUGUCUAACCUGACGUGCCAACUCAGCCAGAUUGGGCUAGACAGGGUUGUGCAGUCAUGGAAUGCACAUAGGAUUCCAGGUAGAGGAAUACCUAAUGAACUAGCUGCAGCAGGAUGUCCAGCACAGAUAUCGGAGGACCUGCUACCCAGUGCUUCUGUUGC